GCUUGUCUCAAAGAUUAAGCCAUGCAUGUCUCAGUAUAAACUUCUAUACGGUGAAACUGCGAAUGGCUCAUUAAAACAGUUAUAAUUUAUUUGAUGGUCGCUUACUACAUGGAUAACUGUGGUAAUUCUAGAGCUAAUACAUGCGCAAAUACCCAACUGCUUGUCGGACGGGUAGCAUUUAUUAGAUUGAAACCAAUGCAGUCUUCGGGCUGGUAUUGUGUUGAGUCAUAAUAACUGUGCGGAUCGCGUUUUACGCGAUAAAUCGAUUGAGUUUCUGCCCUAUCAGCUUUGGAUGGUAGGAUAUGGGCCUACCAUGGCAUUAACGGGUAACGGGGAAUUAGGGUUUGAUUCCGGAGAGGGAGCCUUAGAAACGGCUACCACAUCCAAGGAAGGCAGCAGG
Molecule: ribosomal RNA, 400 nt
Filed under: Salilagenidium thermophilum
Lineage: Eukaryota; Oomycota; Peronosporomycetes; Pythiales; Lagenidiaceae
Description: partial small subunit ribosomal RNA
Rfam family: Eukaryotic small subunit ribosomal RNA
Source: RNAcentral